RNAcentral lists this ribosomal RNA (253 nucleotides) under uncultured bacterium. Its description in RNAcentral is "partial 16S ribosomal RNA". It matches the Rfam family "Bacterial small subunit ribosomal RNA", at positions 524 to 776 of the family's 1533-position model. The record is from RNAcentral.
UACGGAGGGUGCAAGCGUUAAUCGGAACUACUGGGCGUAAAGCGUGCGCAGGCGGUUUGUUAAGUCUGUUGUGAAAUCCCCGAGCUCAACUUGGGAAUUGCAAUGGAUACUGGCAGACUAGAGUAUGGUAGAGGAAGGUGGAAUUCCCGGUGUAGCAGUGAAAUGCGUAGAGAUCGGGAGGAACACCAGUGGCGAAGGCGGCCUUCUGGACCAAUACUGACGCUCAUGCACGAAAGCGCGGGGAGCAAACAGG